GCAUCAUUGGAUUCCAAAAGUGCAGCAUUUAUUGAUAUAAGUAGGAAUAACUUAAGCUAUCUGAAACAUAAAGUGCAUAAAAUUUUCAGAAUAUCUCAUGUUAAAUACAUUCAAGGUUUUGAAAAGCAAUUUUUAAAUCUGCUGAAAUAACAUAAAUAUUCCAACAGUUCCUCGAACAGGAAAGAUUAUGUAAUUUAGAUCUUAUUCAAACUUCACACUAAACAUAGCUAAACAUGCUUGAUUUUACUACACACUUAGUCAUAUAACAACCAUCCAAAUCAACCUCAAAUCACAUUUGCAAAUCAAAGCACCUCUUUUAGCGAUUCUCAUUAGGACUAAACCCACAAUAGAAACAAAACUAAAUGACUUCAACCUUUAAACACAUGCCCAAUCAUAACUAUAAUAACCUUGUGAUUAACAAAAUAUUCAACAAUCUGAAUAAAAAUAUGCAUGGAUCUCAGGAUUGAUGGUUACUUCUACCAACAACAGAACUUAGUAAUUAAACAGACAAAAAUCAACAUGUACUACAUAAUAUACCUACUAAAGUUUUGAUAUAGAACUUCAAGAUAAACUUAGAAGAAAACAUGUUGAGAUAAAAAUCGACACAAACAAACUAAAACUAAAAAACAAGAAGAGAUAACACCUGAUAAAGAAAACACAAUCUUCAUUUCUCUUCAAUAAAGACACUUCAUGAACAAUUCUUUACAUACAUAAGUUUCAGAGAUAUGCACCUGAGAAAAAAGAGGAAACAAGAAGUGGGUGAGGUUUAAUUGAUGAAGAAGGCGGCAACAGCACAACAGGACUCAACAAAAACAAUCCAUUUCAGCCAUAAAAAUAAUGUGAAAAUUGUCCAGAUUCACUCUCAAUCAGACUGUAGUCAAAGAAGACCUCAACCAUGCUUUUAACAAACCAAAUUCAAAGCAUUCUACCCCAGAUGAACCAGAAAUUUUCAGCACUUGAAUAACUCCAGAAAUCAAAGAAAUAGGAGCAAAUUUCAAUGGAAUAAUGAAAGAAUAUUUUUCCGUCCGCUCUUUCUGGAUUUUUUUAUAAAAAACUCUGCCUUAAUAUGCAAGAAAGCAUUCCUUUAUAGACAAGGAAGUAGGGUUGCUUUCAGAUUUUAGUUUUUUGUACUUUUCCCCUUUCUGAAUUUUCUUUUUUUCUUAGCUAGCCUUAAUUAAAAAUCUGAAGUUCAAUUUAAACUCCCUACCCAGCUUCCUAGAGCUUCCCAAUUUUGUUACUCAAAGAUUCUCUUUUCCAAUUUCCUUAACUACCUCCAUACCCCUGUUAUUUACCUUGCCAAUCAAACAGACCUGGGUCCAAUUGACCCAAGCGAAUGGGUUCAAAUAAACCCAACUUAAUUCUUUCUUGGCUUAAUUCUUAGAUCUCAACUGAAAUCAAUCAGAUACUCAAUAUCGAAUCUGACUUAACAUUGACCAAGAGAAAGAAAUACGGGAGCUUUUAAAUCAGGGCCCAAAACUCAAAAGCGAAAGGAGACUAAUUCAACUUAUUUUAAAAAAACAAAUCGAUACUUAUGUUGAACGCCAAACAGGUCAUGCAUAAAUCACGAAAAACAUGCUAUGAAGAAGCAGAAACACAAACUAGAAGCGAGAGGAAGGGGAAUGACUAUAAACAACAGAAAAGUACAAGAGAAGAACUGGCAAUAUAAAAAUACCUAAUGGACUGUCCAAACAUCGCAAUUCUUCUUCACGAACUCAAUUUUAGCCGAAAGGGGCCUCAAUCAUGUGUUCUCAUAUGAAACACAUGACUAAGGUUCGUUCUAGUCUUAAUCACCGUCAAAUCUACCGACUCUGGAGUUUUUGACAUUUUUAGGUCUUACUUUCAACAUCAGAUUCGACAAGUUUAGGGAAUGUUUAAAAGAAACAGAGUGAGGAUUUAGGAAUAGGGGAGUGAACGGAUCUCAGGAUGUUAAUUUGGUUAGAAUUGGUGGUGGAGUCACCACCCCAUAUGGGUGGGAAAAGGUGGUGGCGGGCUAGGGUUCAGGGGUAUCUCUAAGAUAAUGAGUAAGUGAGGGAGAUUGGAACUGGGGGAGGGUAACAAG
Molecule: long non-coding RNA, 2059 nt
Filed under: Nicotiana benthamiana
Lineage: Eukaryota; Viridiplantae; Streptophyta; Magnoliopsida; Solanales; Solanaceae
Description: long non-coding RNA (NBEN_LNC041840)
Source: RNAcentral